AUUGAACGCUGGCGGCAGGCCUAACACAUGCAAGUCGCACGAGUGGCGGACGGGUGAGUAAUGUCUGGGAAACUGCCCGAGGGAGGGGGAUAACUACUGGAAACGGUAGCUAAUACCGCAUACCAUCGGAUGUGCCCAGAUGGGAUUAGCUAGUAGGUGGGGUAAUGGCUCACCUAGGCGACGAUCCCUAACUGGUCUGAGAGGAUGACCAGUCAACCUGGAACUGAGACACGGUCCAGACUCCGACGGGAGGCAGCAGGGGGGAAUAUUGAACAAUGGGCGCAAGCCUGAGGCAGCCAUGCCGCGUGUAUGAAGAAGGUCGGAGGGUUGUAAAGUACGUUCAGCGAGGAGGCGUUACUCGCAGAAUAAGCACCGGCUAACUCCGUGCCAGCAGCCGCGGUAAUUC
This 406-nucleotide ribosomal RNA is filed under the name uncultured bacterium. RNAcentral describes it as "partial 16S ribosomal RNA". It matches the Rfam family "Bacterial small subunit ribosomal RNA", at positions 30 to 526 of the family's 1533-position model. The record is from RNAcentral.